This 71-nucleotide transfer RNA is filed under the name Camelus bactrianus (Bactrian camel). It matches the Rfam family "tRNA". Rfam says of the family: Transfer RNA (tRNA) molecules are approximately 80 nucleotides in length. Their secondary structure includes four short double-helical elements and three loops (D, anti-codon, and T loops). Further hydrogen bonds mediate the characteristic L-shaped molecular structure. tRNAs have two regions of fundamental functional importance: the anti-codon, which is responsible for specific mRNA codon recognition, and the 3' end, to which the tRNAs corresponding amino acid is attached (by aminoacyl-tRNA synthetases). tRNAs cope with the degeneracy of the genetic code in two manners: having more than one tRNA (with a specific anti-codon) for a particular amino acid; and 'wobble' base-pairing, i.e. permitting non-standard base-pairing at the 3rd anti-codon position. RNAcentral also lists the same sequence under 2 other names. Lineage: Eukaryota; Metazoa; Chordata; Mammalia; Artiodactyla; Camelidae. The record is from Rfam by way of RNAcentral.
GAGGGCAUAGCUUAGUGGAGUGCCUGUGCUUAACAUGCACGGGGUCCUGGGUUCAAUCCCCAGUACCCCCA